GAUAGCCCAAAUCAAAAUAAAAUGAGGCUACCCUCAAAUUAUACCGCCUUCACCCAUCGUAUCUCUCCCUCAUUCACAUUCUUUAUUUUAAUUCUUCCCCAAAUUCACCUUCCAAUUGAAAUCCCUAAAAAAGGAAUAGAGAAGCCGACGCCUCUCUCCCCCACGCCUCUCUCUUCUCCGGCGUCGGCGUCGGCGUCUCUCUCCCUCACACCAGCUUCCCAAUUAACAUCAGUCUCAGCGUCGCAGCAAGGCACAAUACUGUAGUCGUGCCUCUCGGCCACCUCCCAAACCAAAUCCAUCUAUCUCUCUCGCUCGCUGGCUCUCUCUCCCUCGCCGCCCUUCGCGUUGCCCCGCCUGCACAGCCGCGUCGCUAGCGAGCGACGCCGACUCUUCUCUGUAUCUCUUUCCUCUCUCAUCGCUCUCUCUUUUCUUACGCCACAACCGCUGCUGCUUCCGAUUCCGCGCCGGCAAUGAUAUAAUCACUCUCCGGCUGUUAAAGAUUGGAUCUUUGGAUGAAUCUGGAGAUGGGCGAAGCAGCGGCUAGAAAUGCCAUGAUAGGGAGAUGGAGGUGGUGGGUCUGCACAGAUGCAGUCGGCACCGUCGGGCUUCUCUCUUCUCCAUUCCUAUUAUUUUUCUUCUUCUCACCGGUCUCCUUUAACAGCAAGCACAUUUUCUGUCCAAUGUUGGCAUAUUGAGAAAUGACAAAAAGGAUAAUCACAAUA
This is a long non-coding RNA of Salvia splendens (bonfire salvia), 722 nucleotides long. RefSeq lists it as uncharacterized. Lineage: Eukaryota; Viridiplantae; Streptophyta; Magnoliopsida; Lamiales; Lamiaceae. The transcript is spliced from 2 exons. The record is from RefSeq and is a predicted model, not a curated record.